This 1556-nucleotide long non-coding RNA is filed under the name Homo sapiens (human). RNAcentral's name for it is "HSALNT0383682". The record is from RNAcentral. Lineage: Eukaryota; Metazoa; Chordata; Mammalia; Primates; Hominidae.
AGAGAAGGAGACACAUUUGUGCAAUAUUUAGGAAGCAAAAUUGUAGAGCAGGAAUGGAUCUGAAGUCAAUGAAAAACUCUUCAUAGCUCUAGUUGUUGGGCUUCCCCAGAAGAUGACAUUGAAAGGAAGGUUUGGAUGCAAGUUGUUCAUUUAGGAGGAGAUCUCAGGAAGCACAAAGUAUUUCCUUGAGUCAGGACCUCCAAGUCCUCCCCUAACUGUGCAGCAGGUCCAUAAAUUCAUCAGCUUCCCAGGCUGCUUCCACCUUUGCUACAUGUGGCCUCAUCCUUACAGCCCAAGAUGGCUCCUAGGGCUCUAGCCAUCACAUGCUGGUACCAGAGAGCAAGAUGACUGAAGGGGAGGAAAGAGAGCAUGUGCUUGUCUCGUGAAGAGAUUUCCUGGAAGUUACACAAAACAUUUCUGUUUUCAGCUUGUUGACUAGAACAUAGUCGUCUGUCAUACUUAGUGUGGAGGGUGACCAAAGAGGGAGUGUUUUGUCUGAAUAGCAUUGCAUCCAGCCAGAUAGCGAGGGCAAGUAGCUGGAGGGAAGAGGAAGACAGACAUUGUAGAGGAAGCUAGCAGUGACUCCCCCCCAGAUUAUAUCCUAUUAAUAAAAGUAAGAACCUAAUUUAUGCCAUGUGCCUGGGCCUCACAGGGCCAUCACACCUCCAUGAAACAAAGUGCUUGGCCUCACUCUGGUUUGCUUUUGUCAUCUCUGAAACAAGGAGGUUUUACUUCCCCAUGUUUCCCAAAUGUCCAUCAUUCAAAUAAUGCUUCUGCUGUGUAGCCAUGUCUACAGCUGUGGUCAAUGCUCCUCAUCAAGGCCGCUGUCUGUGUACCACUCGUGAUUUAAUCAGUCCGUUUUCUUCCAGGGGACUCUCCCUUUAAGCUUCUCUCUCUCUCUCUCUCUCUCUGUCUAUAUAUAUAUAUAUAUAUACAUAUAUAUAUAUACACACAUAUGCACAUAUAUAUAUCUACACACACACAUAUGUAACAUAUAUUUAGAAGCUUAAAUAUGUAUUAUAUAUUCACUCUCUCUAUAUAUAGAGAGAAAUUUAUAUAUAUAUAUGUAUGUAUUCCUCUAACACUCCUGCACCACACACUGAUCUUCCUAUUCAACAAAUACGAAGGAGGCUGCAGGCACUGAACCUUGAUCAGGUCACUACAUCUGACCUGACAUUAGGAUACUUUUAUUUAAGUUUCUAAAUGUAUAAGUUACAUACAUUUAUAUAUAUACACAUAUAUAGAGAUUUAGAUAUUGAAAAAAUACAUAUUUAUAUAUUGAAAAAAUCUAUAUAUAGACAGAGAGAUUUAUAUGUUGAAAAACCCAAGUAAAAUAAAAAUAAGAAAGUAUCCUUAACAUCAGGUGAGAUGUAGUGACCUGAUCAAGGUUCAGAGCCUGAAGCCUCAUUCCUGUUUGUUGAAGAGGAAGAUCAGUGUGUGGUGUGGGGGUGUUAGAGAAAUAGCGUCAGCAAACUGGAACUCUCUUCUUGCCCUAAUAAGCAGGACUGAAAGUGUUCUCCCUAUGUAAUUUACUUUCUUUUAAACUUAAAAUGAAG